RNAcentral lists this ribosomal RNA (403 nucleotides) under Fusobacteriota bacterium. RNAcentral describes it as "Fusobacteria bacterium partial 16S ribosomal RNA". It matches the Rfam family "Bacterial small subunit ribosomal RNA", at positions 355 to 776 of the family's 1533-position model. The record is from RNAcentral. Lineage: Bacteria; Fusobacteriati; Fusobacteriota.
UGGGGAAUAUUGCACAAUGGAGGGAACUCUGAUGCAGCGACGCCGCGUGAACGAAGAAGGCUUUCGAGUCGUAAAGUUCUUUUAUAUGGGAAGAUAAUGACGGUACCAUAAGAAAAAGCCCCGGCUAACUACGUGCCAGCAGCCGCGGUAAUACGUAGGGGGCUAGCGUUGUCCGGAAUCACUGGGCGUAAAGGGUUCGCAGGCGGAAAUGCAAGUCAGGUGUAAAAGGCAGUAGCUUAACUACUGUAAGCAUUUGAAACUGCAUAUCUUGAGAAGAGUAGAGGUAAGUGGAAUUUUUAGUGUGGCGGUGAAAUGCGUAGAUAUUAAAAAGAAUACCGGUGGCGAAGGCGACUUACUGGGCUCAUUCUGACGCUGGGGAACGAAAGCGUGGGUAGCAAACAGG